GGAGCAAGAGGAAGAGGAGCUGAGGACAGGAACUAGAUGCCCGGCACCAGGGGUCCCAGCCUGGUCAAGGACACGAAGAUCAAGUCACUGGAGGAGAUCUGUCUCUUCUUCCUGCUCAUCUAGGAGUCUGAGAUCAUUGAGUCCUUUCUAAGAGCAUGUCUGAAGGAUGAGACCUUGAAGAUGAUGUCAUUGCAAAAGCAGACCCGCGCUGGCCCGGGGACCAGGUUCAAGGCAUUGGUUGCCAUGGGGGACUACAAUGGCCACAUUGGUCUGAGUGUGAAGUGCUCCAAGGGAGUAGCCACUACCAUCCCAGGGACCAUGAUCUUGGUCAAGAUCCUCUAUGUUCCUGUGCGGAGAAUCUACUUGGGGACAAGAUGGGCAAGCCCCACACCAUCCCUUGCAAGGGACCGGCUGCUGCACCUAUGUGAAGGUGCACCUUAUCCCUGCCCACUGAGGCACUGGCAUCGUCUCGAUCUGGGCCCAAGAAGCUGCUGAUGGUGGCUGGCACUGACAACUGCUACACCUCCCUUCAGCCAGGGCUGCACUGGGCAACUUCACCAAGGCCACCUUUGAUGCCAUCUCUGAGACCUACAGUUAUUUGACCCCUGACCUCUGGAAAGAGACUGUAUUCACCAAUUCUCCCUAUCAGGAAUUCAUCAACCAUCUUGUCAAGACCCACGCUAGAGUCUCUGAGCAGGGGACACAGGCUUCAGCUGUGGCCACAACAUAGGGUUUUUACACAAGAAAAAUAAAGUGAAUCAAGCCUGU
Carlito syrichta (Philippine tarsier) is the source of this 768-nucleotide RNA transcript. It is a transcript of the gene named 40S ribosomal protein S2 pseudogene, with no coding region annotated. NCBI's taxonomy places the organism in Eukaryota, Metazoa, Chordata, Mammalia, Primates, Tarsiidae. The transcript is spliced from 2 exons. The record is from RefSeq and is a predicted model, not a curated record.